CGGCGGAGCAUGUGGAUUAAUUCGAUGCAACGCGAAGAACCUUACCUGGGUUUGACAUGCACUAGACAGCCGUAGAGAUACGGUUUCCCUUGUGGUUGGUGUACAGGUGGUGCAUGGCUGUCGUCAGCUCGUGUCGUGAGAUGUUGGGUUAAGUCCCGCAACGAGCGCAACCCUUACCCUACGUUGCCAGCGGGUUAUGCCGGGGACUCGUGGGGGACUGCCGGGGUCAACUCGGAGGAAGGUGGGGAUGACGUCAAGUCAUCAUGCCCCUUAUGCCCAGGGCUUCACACAUGCUACAAUGGCUGGUACAGAGGGCUGCGAUACCGUGAGGUGGAGCGAAUCCCUUAAAGCCGGUCUCAGUUCGGAUCGGGGUCUGCAACUCGACCCCGUGAAGUCGGAGUCGCUAGUAAUCGCAGAUCAGCAUUGCUGCGGUGAAUACGU
RNAcentral lists this ribosomal RNA (441 nucleotides) under Saccharopolyspora tripterygii. RNAcentral describes it as "bacterial SSU rRNA". It matches the Rfam family "Bacterial small subunit ribosomal RNA", at positions 930 to 1371 of the family's 1533-position model. Lineage: Bacteria; Bacillati; Actinomycetota; Actinomycetes; Pseudonocardiales; Pseudonocardiaceae. The record is from RNAcentral.